Zeugodacus cucurbitae (melon fly) is the source of this 3622-nucleotide long non-coding RNA. RefSeq lists it as uncharacterized. The record is from RefSeq and is a predicted model, not a curated record. The transcript has 3 exons. Lineage: Eukaryota; Metazoa; Arthropoda; Insecta; Diptera; Tephritidae.
UUUUCUCAUUUACCACUGCAAACGCUCAAUUCUGCUAUUUUCUAGCCGUCUGAUGUUAAACAAUGGUGAAACUCCCUUAUAGAAUUCUGUGGUGAAACUCGCUUAUAGAAACGAGUACCCCUUCGAAAAGCAAACCAGUGUGGCCAUUAGCCCGCCGUGAACCUUCUCUAUAUUUUACAUUCUCUGAGCGUGGUUCGAUGUAGGCACAAUGAAAUAAGAAGUGGCGACACAAGACCAAAGAUAACAUGAUACGAAACUCUUUCAUUCGUGAGAGAGCUGUCAAAGUCCGCAUUUUUUAUAACAUUUGGCAGUGGUGCCACUGCGGGAAAAGAUAAGUUAGUAGAUUUUUAUUCGAUUUCUUGGGUAUUUAUUGGUUUGCAGUUUACGCUUAAUAGAGACUUCUUAACCAAUAUUACACCAACACAUACACUUAUAAAUAUAUAUUUUAAGAUAAACAAUAGACAUCUACACAUAAAAAUAAUAAAAUAUAAUAAUAAUUAAAAAUCGUACAUAUUAUAAGUCAACAUAAACAAAAAUUUAGCUUAGUUUAAUUUAGUAACAUAUAUUUAUUUAUAUUUUAUAAACAAAUAAACACCUUAAUAUAUUCUCUAAAAGUUUAAGAGAAAAUUUGUACCCAGAUAUGUAUUUACGUAAAUGUCAUUUAACACUGUUAAAGAACGUACAUAUAUUACUUUCGUACAAAUAGCCACCGUUUCUUAAAUAAUGUACACAUAUUAACUCCAUUUAUAUAGAAGUUAAUAGUAAUUCAAAAAUCACAAAAAACUUAUCGUACAAAAACGAACCAUUUAAUCAUUUAUUUCUGCGGGAUUCUUAGUGGUAGCUCGUCAUUUUGACUGUCAGCUGUUCAGUAGCCCAUGAUCUGGCUUUGUUGCCAACAUCAAAAAUGAGUUCAUGGGCUCUCUCAACAAGCAAAAGAGAAGAGUUUCGUAUCAUAUUAUCCAUGGCGAACAAAUUAGAGUCGAGUGCGGUCGAAACUCGCUCCGUUAAACAUUUUCUCGGUACAAGUGCAUAUUAAAUUAUUAACAUUGACAAAGUAGACCAUGUGAAAUAAUGAUGAACAAGGAACAGUGCGAUUUAACAUUAGAAGUGGGAUCGAGGCCUAGCGCGGAUGAGCCGUGGCGCAUUUUGAUGGAACUACAAAAGAAAACAUUAAGUGAAGUGGUGCUACCCAAAUUUAAUCCAGAAAGUAUUGGUGCCGAAGCAUUGGCGUGGUGUUCAACGGCGAAUAUAAUUUUAGUCGAAAACAUAAUAAAAGGCAGUGUCUUGGUGAUGGUAUUUGGUGUAUCAUGGUGAGACGAUUACAACAACUUUUGAUUCGGGAGCGGAAUGCAGUCUAAUAAAACAAAAGAUAAGUAUGAAGUUAGAUGGAAAAAGAAUUAAUAAUGUAGUGAUAUUGAAAUGUAUUGGCAAUGACAGCAUUUGUAGUACAUUGCAAAUACUUAGCAACGUAAAUAUUAGCCAUCAUUGUAUUGAAGUGUUGUUCCAUGUCGUGGACAAUGAGUAUUUGAAAAAUUGUAUUGUUACUGGUCGUUAAGUACUGUCUCCUGGAUUCAAUGUUGUAAUAUUACCAGGAAGAUUCGAAAUUUUAAGAUCAAAAACUGUAAACUACUGUUCAAAUGAUCAACAAAUUUUGCUUAUGUUAAACACUGAUCUCGUUGGAGAAGAUAGUGAUAAAUUAAAAUUUUUAUUGGAAAAAAAUUCAAAAUCUUUUGUUGACGGGAUUCCUUUGUCUAGAGUUAGCUCGGGUAAAAUGAAAAUAAAAUUAGUAGACCCAAGAAAAAUUGUUCAAAGAAGGCCGUAUAGACUUAGCGCCAAUGAAAGAGAGUUAGUACGAGAUAAGAUCAAGGAACUAUUUGAAUGAAAAGUUAUAAAACCAAGUUGCUCACCAUAUGCAAGUCCUAUAAUGCAUGUUAAUAAAAAAUAUGGCUCCCAUCGUUUGUGUGUUGAUUACCGCGAGUUAAAUUCUAAUACGGUCUCAGAUAGAUAUGUACCCUUUGCUCCUUAUAUCAGACCAGAUAGCCAGGCUUCACGGAGCAAAAUAUUUUACAUGUUUAGACAUGGCAAGCGGAUACUACCAAAUUCCUUUGCACGAAGAUUCAAAAGAGUGUAAUUUUUGGCAAUGGCAAUUUUUGGAGACUUGACAAAUACAUUCGUUGUCGUUUAUAUGGAUGAUAUAAUGGUGGCUGCUUCAACGAAAAGUGAAGCUUUGGAAAUGUUGCAGAAUACUCUUGAUUGUCUCGCGAAAGCUGGAUUUUCCUUCAAUUUAAAGAAGUGUUCGUUUCUUAAGUCAACAGUCCAAUAUUUGGCAUAUGAAGUAAGUUCAGGUGAAAUUCGUCCGAAUUCGCUUUCCUCAGUCGGUACCCAGCAAGUCAUGGCUACUGAAACUCCAAUACAUUCAAAGAAAUUUUAAUAACACCACUACAUACACACAUAUGAAACAAAGGGCGAAAUGUGCAUAAACAUUUACCUCAACUCAACUACAUGAAAAAAUAGUACCAAAAAAACGUAAUAACAAACAUAUAAUCCAAAAGUCGGUUUUAUUUUGAGCAAAAAAUAUAAAAAUCAAAUAUAAUGAUUAUUUAUGAUUUUUAUUUUUUUGCUAAAAAAUGAUGAUUAUUUAUGAUUUUUUACAAAAUUACUCAGAAUUAAUCAUUAACGGUGAUGAAAAUCAUAAAAAUCUGUAUUUAAAAAAUCAUGGUGGAAAUGGAUAGAUCGUCUAAAAAGGAUUACAAUGACGUUAUCCUUUUGUUUGUGUGACGAUUAUAAUUGAUUGAUUUUUUACUUAAAAAUCGGAACGAUAAUCAUUAUUUUCGGUCCCUGGUUUAAACAAGUUUUGUUUUGAGUUAUAUCAUGGCUGCUUGUGAAGUAUUAUUUUGCGUGUUUUAUUUAAAUCAGUGAUCUGUAGCCUAAUUAAAGUUUAAAUUAUUGAAGCACGCAUUUUUAAAUAAGUAAAACGAUAUUAGGUAUUAGGUUUAAUGUCACUUUUUUACGUGCAAUUAAACCUUUUGCUCAACACAAGCCCGGGAAGAACUGAAACGACAUGGCUUAGGUGCUUUUGUAACCGUUUAUCAUCGCGACAUGUGUAAACUGGGUUUUGCCAAUGAGCUAGAGGACAAAGCAGUUGCAGUAUUUUUAGAAUUACCGGCCCCUCAGUUGGCCGUGCCAUUAGCAGCUAAAACUCAGAAAUUAAAGGGAGGACUUUUUUGAUUCAUUUUCACCUUGUAUUGAGCAAUCAUAACAUUGUUGUAUCGCUUUACAAGGACAUGGAUUCACCGAAAUUAGUUCAAUGGAAAUACUGCAGCAAGAGUAUGGGAUGUCAUGGAUGUUAAGACUAGAACGUUGCCAAUGCUAGAUUUAUAAUUCCUGAAACAUAAGAAAUCCUCCUCCCAGAAAAUGGAUGAAUAUAGUACUAAUGAAAUUAAUGAAAGAACAGAUCUUCCAACUGCCACUCUUCCUCCAGCCUUUGUCAGAUAGCAAAAGUUGUUCAAAUAUUCAAUACGUUUUACAUAUGUAUAUAGUGUAGUACGAUAAUACAUUUAUAAAGUAAAUAUAAUAAUAAACACCUAAAUGGCAUGAUAUUUUAAAUAAAUAUGAAAUAUAA